CAGCAGCCGCGGUAAUACGGAAGGUCCAGGCGUUAUCCGGAUCUAUUGGGUUUAAAGGGAGCGUAGGCGGAUUAUUAAGUCAGUGGUGAAAGACGGUGGCUCAACCAUCGUUAGCCAUUGAAACUGGUAGUCUUGAGUGCAGACAGGGAUGCUGGAACUCGUGGUGUAGCAGUGAAAUGCUUAGAUAUCACGAUGAACUCCGAUCGCGAAGGCAGGUGUCCGGGCUGCGACUGACGCUGAGGCUCGAAAGUGUGGGUAUCAGACAGGAUUAGAUACCCCAGUAGUCCCUGUCUCUUAUACA
RNAcentral lists this ribosomal RNA (301 nucleotides) under uncultured bacterium. Its description in RNAcentral is "partial 16S ribosomal RNA". It matches the Rfam family "Bacterial small subunit ribosomal RNA", at positions 509 to 808 of the family's 1533-position model. The record is from RNAcentral.